This 68-nucleotide transfer RNA is filed under the name Methylobacterium sp. Leaf123. RNAcentral describes it as "tRNA-Tyr". The record is from RNAcentral. Lineage: Bacteria; Pseudomonadati; Pseudomonadota; Alphaproteobacteria; Hyphomicrobiales; Methylobacteriaceae.
GCGGGCCGAAGAGGAAAGGUUACCGCUGUAAACGGGGAGGUCGCGGGUUCGAAUCCCGCCGGGCCGCA